Molecule: non-coding RNA, 550 nt
Organism: Salmo salar (Atlantic salmon)
Lineage: Eukaryota; Metazoa; Chordata; Actinopteri; Salmoniformes; Salmonidae
Source: RefSeq, a predicted model, not a curated record
CCCUGUCAGAUGCUAAUUGUUGUGUCUUUAUCUCUGUCAGGAGGACCAAGGCCCUGGCAGCCUACCAGCAGCAGGCAGUGUGUGUGACAAGGCUGGUCAGAGAGACCCUUAGAGAACAGUUGGAGCUACAGAGGAGAGAAGUGGACACUCUAAACAAUGAGUUGGACAAGGAGAGAGAGCUACGGCACAGAAACAGCAGUUCUUGGAGUAUAAACUAAGGAAGACACGACAGCUUCUAGAGAGGCAGGUGAUUUGCGACUCAGAUGAUUCUGACCAGAAUGACCCAGAAUCUCCCUGUGAACCAAUCAGCUCGCCUCCCAGUCCUUUAGACCUGUAUUUUGAUGCAGAGAUGUAGGAGAUGGAAGCUGAAACUGGAGUCAAGCCUAAGAAGAUUCUGGAAACAAGAGCACUAUUAUGGAUACUUCAAGGCUACACAAGGCCCGUGUGUGUACAUAUGUGUGUGUGUAAUUUAACUGUAUUUCAUUCAGACUAUUGUGCUGCACUGUGUGUCUACCUCAGUUGCUUUGAGGAAAUAAAAGUGAAUGCCUGA